Molecule: ribosomal RNA, 465 nt
Filed under: uncultured bacterium
Lineage: Bacteria
Description: partial 16S ribosomal RNA
Rfam family: Bacterial small subunit ribosomal RNA
Source: RNAcentral
GACGAACGCUGGCGGCGUGCUUAACACAUGCAAGUCGUACGGUAAGGCCCUUUCGGGGGUACACGAGUGGCGAACGGGUGAGUAACACGUGAGUAACCUGCCCACAACUUUGGGAUAACGCUCGGAAACUGGUGCUAAUACUGGCUAUGUGCUCCUGCUGCAUGGUGGGGGUUGGAAAGCUCCGGCGGUUGGGGAUGGACUCGCGGCCUAUCAGCUUGCUGGUGGGGUAGUGGCCUACCAAGGCGGCGACGGGUAGCCGGCCUGGGAGGGUGACCGGCCAAAAUGGGACUGAGAUACGGCCCAGACUCCUACGGGAGGCAGCAGUGGGGAAUAUUGCACAAUGGGCGCGAGCCUGAUGCAGCAACGCCGCGUGCGGGAUGACGGCCUUCGGGUUGUAAACCGCUUUCAGCAGGGACGAAGCUGUUUGUGACGGUACCUGCAGAAGAAGCACCGGCUAACUACGUG